GACGAACGCUGGCGGCGUGCUUAACACAUGCAAGUCGAACGGAAAGGCCCUGCUUUUGUGGGGUGCUCGAGUGGCGAACGGGUGAGUAACACGUGAGUAACUUGCCCUUGACUUUGGGAUAACUUCAGGAAACUGGGGCUAAUACCGGAUAGGAGCUCCUGCUGCAUGGUGGGGGUUGGUAAGUUUCGGCGGUUGGGGAGGGACUCGCGGCUUAUCAGCUGUCUGGUGGGGUAGUGGCUUACCAAGGCUUUGUCGGGUUGUCGGCCUGAGAGGGUGAACGGCCAUAUUGGGAAUGAGAUAGGGCCAAGACUCCUACCGGAGGCAGCAGUCGAGAAUAUGGCACAAUGGGCGGAAGCAUGAUGCAGCAACGCCGCGUGCGGAAUAACGGCCUUCGGGUUGUAAACCGCUUUCGCAUGUGACGAAGCGUGAGUGACGGUAAUGGGUAAAGAAGCACCGGCUAACUACGUG
This 468-nucleotide ribosomal RNA is filed under the name uncultured bacterium. RNAcentral describes it as "partial 16S ribosomal RNA". It matches the Rfam family "Bacterial small subunit ribosomal RNA", at positions 28 to 507 of the family's 1533-position model. The record is from RNAcentral.